UACAGAGGUGGCAAGCGUUGUUCGGAAUUACUGGGCGUAAAGGGCGCGUAGGCGGUUCCGUAAGUCUUGCGUGAAAUCCCCUGGCUCAACUAGGGAACUGCGCGGGAAACUGUGGGGCUUGAGUUCGGGAGAGGGAAGCGGAAUUCCGGGUGUAGCGGUGAAAUGCGUAGAUAUCCGGAGGAACACCGGUGGCGAAGGCGGCUUCCUGGACCGACACUGACGCUGAGGCGCGAAAGCCAGGGGAGCAAACGGG
RNAcentral lists this ribosomal RNA (253 nucleotides) under uncultured bacterium. RNAcentral's name for it is "partial 16S ribosomal RNA". It matches the Rfam family "Bacterial small subunit ribosomal RNA", at positions 524 to 776 of the family's 1533-position model. The record is from RNAcentral.